CCUAGAGUUUGUGGACUUCGGUCUGCUACCUCUUACCCAUGUCUUUUGAGUACCUUCGUUUCCUCGGCGGGUCCGCCCGCCAACGGGGACAACACAAACUCUUUUUGCAGUGGCAGUGUCUGUCUGAAACAAACAAAUCUUAUUA
Molecule: unclassified non-coding RNA, 145 nt
Filed under: uncultured Ascomycota
Lineage: Eukaryota; Fungi; Ascomycota
Description: sequence contains ITS1
Source: RNAcentral